UCCGGUUUGACACCGGCAGUCUCCUAUGAGUCCCCGACUUGACUCGCUGGCAACAUAGGACAGGGGUUGCGCUCGUUGCGGGACUUAACCCAACACCUCACGACACGAGCUGACGACAACCAUGCACCACCUGUCUCCUCUGUCCCGAAGGAAAGGUACAUCUCUGUACCGGUCAGAGGGAUGUCAAGACCUGGUAAGGUUCUUCGCGUUGCUUCGAAUUAAACCACAUGCUCCACUGCUUGUGCGGGUCCCCGUCAAUUCCUUUGAGUUUUAGCCUCGCGGCCGUACUCCCCAGGCGGGAUGCUUAACGCGUUAGCUUCGCUACCAAACGGGUCGAUACGUCUAGCAGCUAGCAUCCAUCGUUUACGGCGUGGACUAC
Molecule: unclassified non-coding RNA, 379 nt
Filed under: uncultured bacterium
Lineage: Bacteria
Description: contains 16S-23S intergenic spacer region
Source: RNAcentral